UAGGGAAUAUUGGUCAAUGGAUGGAAGUCUGAACCAGCCAUGCCGCGUGCAGGAAGAAGGCCUUCUGGGUUGUAAACUGCUUUUGCCAGGGGCUAAAAAGCUCAUGCGUGAGAAAUUGAAAGUACCUGGUGAAUAAGCCACGGCUAACUACGUGCCAGCAGCCGCGGUAAUACGUAGGUGGCAAGCGUUGUCCGGAUUUAUUGGGUUUAAAGGGUGCGUAGGCGGCUUUGUAAGUCAGUGGUGAAUAUGGCAGCUCAACUGUCAGGGUGCCAUUGAUACUGCAGAGCUUGAGUACAGAUGAGGUAGGCGGAAUUGACGGUGUAGCGGUGAAAUGCUUAGAUAUCGUCAAGAACACCGAUAGCGAAGGCAGCUUACUGGGCUGUAACUGACGCUGAGGCACGAAAGUGUGGGGAUCAAACAGGAUUAGAUACCCUGGUAGUCCACACUGUAAACGUUGAUGACUCGCUGUUGG
This 472-nucleotide ribosomal RNA is filed under the name uncultured Bacteroidota bacterium. Its description in RNAcentral is "bacterial SSU rRNA". It matches the Rfam family "Bacterial small subunit ribosomal RNA", at positions 355 to 826 of the family's 1533-position model. The record is from RNAcentral. Lineage: Bacteria; Pseudomonadati; Bacteroidota.